UUUCCGUAGGUGAACCUGCGGAAGGAUCAUUACAGAGUUCAUGCCCUCACGGGUAGAUCUCCCACCCUUGAAUAUUUAUACCUUAGUUGCUUUGGCAGGCCGUGGGAACACCAUGGGCUCCGGCUUAUGCAUGCCUGCCAGAGGAAACAAACUCUGCUUUUAGUGAUGUCUGAGUACUAUAUAAUAGUUAAAGCUUUCAACAACGGAUCUCUUGGUUCUG
This 220-nucleotide unclassified non-coding RNA is filed under the name plant metagenome. RNAcentral describes it as "partial contains small subunit ribosomal RNA, internal transcribed spacer 1, and 5.8S ribosomal RNA". The record is from RNAcentral.